AUUGAACGCUGGCGGCAUGCUUUACACAUGCAAGUCGAACGGCAGCGCGGGCUUCGGCCUGGCGGCGAGUGGCGAACGGGUGAGUAAUACAUCGGAACGUGCCCAGUAGUGGGGGAUAGCUCGGCGAAAGCCGGAUUAAUACCGCAUACGACCUGAGGGUGAAAGCGGGGGAUCUUCGGACCUCGCGCUAUUGGAGCGGCCGAUGGCAGAUUAGCUAGUUGGUGGGGUAAAGGCCUACCAAGGCGACGAUCUGUAGCUGGUCUGAGAGGACGACCAGCCACACUGGGACUGAGACACGGCUCAGACUCCUACGGGAGGCAGCAGUGGGGAAUUUUGGACAAUGGGCGAAAGCCUGAUCCAGCAAUGCCGCGUGUGUGAUGAAGGCCUUCGGGUUGUAAAGCACUUUUGGCGGGAACGAAAAGGACUGUGCCAAUACCACGGUUCGAUGACGGUACCCGCAGAAUAAGCACCGGCUAACUACGUG
Molecule: ribosomal RNA, 484 nt
Filed under: uncultured bacterium
Lineage: Bacteria
Description: partial 16S ribosomal RNA
Rfam family: Bacterial small subunit ribosomal RNA
Source: RNAcentral